ACGCACGCUGGCGGCGUGCCUAAUACAUGCAAGUUGAGCGAUGAAGAUUGGUGCUUGCACCAAUUUGAAGAGCAGCGAACGGGUGAGUAACGCGUGGGGAAUCUGCCUUUGAGCGGGGGACAACAUUUGGAAACGAAUGCUAAUACCGCAUAACAACUUUAAACAUAAGUUUUAAGUUUGAGAGAUGCAAUUGCAUCACUCAAAGAUGAUCCCGCGUUGUAUUAGCUAGUUGGUGAGGUAAAGGCUCACCAAGGCGAUGAUACAUAGCCGACCUGAGAGGGUGAUCGGCCACAUUGGGACUGAGACACGGCCCAAACUCCUACGGGAGGCAGCAGUAGGGAAUCUUCGGCAAGGGACGAAAGUCUGACCGAGCAACGCCGCGGGAGUGAAGAAGGUUUUCGGAUCGUAAAACUCGGUUGGUAGAGAAGAACGUUGGUGAGAGUGGAAAGCUCAUCAAGUGACGGUAACUACCCAGAAAGGGACGGCUAACUACGUG
Molecule: ribosomal RNA, 496 nt
Filed under: uncultured bacterium
Lineage: Bacteria
Description: partial 16S ribosomal RNA
Rfam family: Bacterial small subunit ribosomal RNA
Source: RNAcentral